CCGAUGAAGCCUUCUUCUCCUCCGGGCUAAUCGGAGUUGAACAGGAGAAGGCGAGGGGGCUCUCGAGCGGCCUGUUGUUGGAGCGGCGCAGAGGAGAGAGCAUUUGGCUCUCUGUUUUCUUUUAUGUUUCUUUUAUUUUUUCUUUUUUUCUUUUUUGUUUAAAAAAUGGCAUGGAGGCUAUCAGAUUAGGGUUUUAUUUUAGGCCCUUAUCUGAUUUAUGAAACGACGCCGUUUGGAGUCUGAUCAGUGGCUCCAAAACUGCGCCAUAUUUUCCCUGUAACCAGCGUGUUUUGGUAGGGAGGACUAUUUGCGCGUCAGGUCCUCCACUUUUUCGUUUGGGUUCAAUCUAGUCUCUAUCGUUCUUUUAAAUUGGGCCGCCUAUUUUCCUGCGAUUUUUAUUUUGGUCCAGCUUGCAACUCCGCGUUUUGGAGGGUGGGGAAUAUUCCCCUUUUGGUCCCCCAUGUUAUGCGCGUUCCGCGAUUUGGACCCCUUAUUUAUUUAUUUUAGAUUUUUACCCUACAUUAUGGCUUUUUUGACAAUUUCGUCCUCUGUUUAUUAUUAUUGCUAAAAAUCAUUUUAUUUGUUGUUU
Molecule: long non-coding RNA, 589 nt
Filed under: Gossypium barbadense (sea-island cotton)
Lineage: Eukaryota; Viridiplantae; Streptophyta; Magnoliopsida; Malvales; Malvaceae
Description: long non-coding RNA (GBAR_LNC022460)
Source: RNAcentral